CUCAGCUCCUCCGGCCACUGCUCAUUGGAUCAGGGCCACACGUCAGCCUGAGAAUCUGGAAACGGAACGCAGAGCCUCUCAGCCUCUGCUCACAGGGCCCGCGAGCAGGGAGAUGCGAGAUGGCCACGCGCUCCCGCUCACCCAGCAAAUGCUCUGGGCCCGACUCUGCUGCAGAGACCCCAGAGAGAGAGCAAGGCACGUGUGGUCCCUCCUUUCAGGGAGCUCGCGUCUUCGUGGGGAGGAGAAGAUGCAAAAAUCAUUGAGAGCUCAGCCGGGAGAGGAUUGUGACCUCCAUUCUGCAAGCAGACUCUCCCCCUUGCUGGCUUUGAUGAGGCAGUGGCAUUUUGGGGAGGCCGAUGUGGCAAGCCUAGGAACUGUGGCCUAGGAUGGCCUCUUGUGACUAGGGAUGGCCUCCAGCUGACAGCCAGCAAGAAACUGAGGCCCGGGGUUUUACAAAGAUCUAAAUUCUGCCAGCAGCCACGUGACCUUGGCAGUGACCCCUUCCCGGCUGAGCUUUGAAAUGAGACCACUGCCUGGCAGACACCUGGACUGCAGCUUUGCGAGAUUCAGAAGCAAGGUCCAUUCCCAAAUGCCUUCAUCACAGAAUCUGCGGAAUAUAAAAUGCGUGUCGUCUCAAGUCACGAAUUUUGUGGCAAUCUGUCAUGCAGCCUAUAAUAGGAAACUAAUAUUAGGGACAUUUGGGCAGCAUCCAGGUCUGGGCUUUUAAAACCCGGGCUGCUAUGAACAUUCCGGGACAUGUCUUUUGGUGAACAUAUGCGAGCACUUCUGUUUGGCAUAUCCCUAGGACGGAACUGCAGGGUCAUAUGGGACGCAUAUGUUCCGCCUGAGGAAAUUCUGCCAACAGUUUUCCCAACCCAGUUAUGUUUGCGUUGGUGAGGACGGGCUUCAAACCCAGGUACGCACAGCUCGAAAGCUCCAUGUUUUCAACUGCCAUGUUUGCUUUCUAAGCUAUAUGAGGGGCGAUCUCACAACAAGGAAAUAAACACCUCUUCCUGGUAAUUUUCUAUGAGCAAAGCUUCUGUGUGUAAAGUACUUGAAGGCAAUAAAACAUACUUGUAUAUCUCA
Long non-coding RNA from Neofelis nebulosa (Clouded leopard), 1086 nucleotides. RefSeq lists it as uncharacterized. NCBI's taxonomy places the organism in Eukaryota, Metazoa, Chordata, Mammalia, Carnivora, Felidae. The transcript is spliced from 2 exons. The record is from RefSeq and is a predicted model, not a curated record.